UAAAGUAUUUUCCAUCAAGGGUCUUAUGACCCUUGAUGGAAAAUGUUAAACCUCACCGCCGUGACGUCCCUCGCCAGGCGGGGCGCGGUGGGAGGCGGUGCGGGCAGUGCUCGGCCAGCCUGAGACUGUCCAGUGUUCCCUGCUGCAGCUCAUGCAUGGCUUUAUCUCAGCACAGAGCAUCCAUGAGGUACCGGUGUGUGUGUGUGUGUGUGUGUGUGUGUGUGUGUGUGUGCGAAUAAUAAUAUUAGACAUAUUAUAAGAUAAGACUGGAGAUUAAGCUUGCAAGCCUAGGCGAGUCACGCUGUACCACUUGCAUCACGUUGGCGUCAGAUGGUGGGUCAGUUUGGGAUUCCUGUUGGAGUGUUUGAGGCUCAGGUGGCCAGUGAAGCUGCUAACGACACGUGGACCACGCAGCUGUCCCAGGCGGUGCGUCAGGCGAGGAAGGUGAGCAAGGCUGUGGUGCACAGGCUGUCACCGAACUCUGGUCUCUAUGAGAGUGUGUGCCUCGAUGCUGGAGAACUGAAAGCUUUGAGUUGACUCUCGCCAUAGUUGAGUGAAUACUUCAUCAGAUUCGCCGUGGGUCUUGGUGCGUGACGGUGGUGGUGGUGAGUGAUGACCCAGACUUCCUCGCCGCCUUCGCCGAGUCCUCGCUGCAACACCGCCUGCUGGUGUGGGCCACGAGGCUCCUUGUCCUCACCCGCCUAACGCUGCAGCAGGUGCACCGCCUCCUCUCCUCCCACUGGACCUUCUCCAUGAUGAACGCCAUGUUUCUCAACCAGCAGCAAGACUCUUCAGGAAACUGGUACUUAUUUUGCUCACUUGCAAUCUAGUAAUGAAACAUGAUUAUAAUUAAAUUAAUAUUUUUCAUAGGUUAUGGGAAAGAAAAGAAAACAAUUUUUCAUAGCAUUGCAUCAUAAUUUGCAGCACGUCCUUUCUUUUAGUUAAGUAUCUUUCCAUACUGUCUUGAUUUUCAAUGACAGGUUCAGUGCGUACUCACACCUGCCGUACAGUCCCCGCGGCCCACAGGUGGUAAGCGCCGCCACCUGGAAACACAGCGCCCUUGUCCAGAAUGCAUCACAUUUCACAACUUUCCCUGAGAAAUUUUCUGAGUAAGUGGAAUAAUUAAAUUUUCCAAUGAACUUUAAUCUGGACAUAUUAAAAAUUCCGGAGAGCUAAUUUCCCGUCUCUCCCUCCUAAAGUUUCCACGGUGCUACAAUAAAUGUGGCAGCGCUUCCUUACGCCCCAUACUGGGAUGAAACUGUGCAGGAGGCGGAGGACGGGCGACCCGUGAAGAUAUACUCGGGCACGGAUUACCAGCUGCUCUCUGUGAUGUGCCACUACCUCAACUUCAAGAUUUAUAAUAUUCCAACAAGUAGCUGGCAAGAGAUAGGUCAACUAGUCGCCGAAAGGAAGGCUUUCAUGUCGCCCGUGCAUCACGUGCCGGUGGCUCAGCGUCUGGCAAUGUACGACUUUUCCUAUGGGUAUGAGUUUGGCUCCAUAGACUUCUGUGCGGCUGUGCCUUCCCUCAGUCCUAAGUGGCACAGCCUCUAUUACCCGCUGUCGGACUACGUGUGGCUGGCUGUUCUGGCGGUGCUUGUCAUCGUGCCGUUCUCUCUUUUCUUGGUAGGCUUCGCAUGAACUAAUCUCUGAUAUUCGUUGUAUAUCACACAAGCGCGGUUUAUUCACCGUAAUCCAUGUAUUUGCUCGAAAGAUGUGUAUUUUGUGUAUUGGUAAGUAAAAGUGUUUCCAUUGUAAUCCUUAGUUGUUUCCUAUUUCCAGGCGAAUCUGUUGGCAACUUGGCUCAUAUCGGAAAACAGGAUGAGUCUCGGAGUGUCCUCUCAUACUGUCAUCGCCACCCUCCUCGCCCAGGACUUACCAGUAAAGCCUCCCAACACACACGCUAUCCGGGCCCUGGUGGCGGCGUGGCUGUUGUUCGCCUUCAUAGUUGGAACAGUGUACCGCGGGAACCUGACGGCCUCCCUCACCUUGCCCAAGUACCCGCCGCGGCCGGAGACCAUCGCAGACUUAGUGAAGACUUUCGACAGGUGAACAUUGCGUGUUGAAGGUUAAAGGAAAAUGUAUGAAAUAUGGAGAGGACAGUGGGGAAUGUAAAUAUACAUGUAAAUUUCAUUGUCAAAAUGUGGAGCGGUCUUCGUUAUCUCAGCAGUUUUUUUUUUUUUUUUUUUCAGGAUAUCAGUGCCACUUUUCGCACAAGUAUUUAUCGAUAAUUUUAGAAACUCUUCCACACCCGUGAUUAGGGAGAUGGGGGAAAAGAUGUUUCUUGCCUCCAGCGUCCUGGAAACACUGCAGCGGACACGUGAUGGCUGGUGAGAUAUCUUGUUUCGUUAAUUUCAACAGACAAGACAGAUAACGUUGGAAAAAGUUUUCUUAACUCCCCACUCUUACAGGGAAGCGCAUGUUGGCUGGAGGAGCUACGUCGCCACGAUAAUAGCAAGUCACUUUAUAUUAGCGGACGGCAGCACUGAAAUUUACCUGGGGCGUGAAAGUGUGUCGCACACUUUGACAGCCUGGCCGCUACCUCACGACGCGCCCUUUAAGCGACAAGUGGACACGAUCAUGGUGGCAGUGCUCGAGGCUGGACUAUACGAGAGAUGGAGGGAAGAAUUUUUGGACGUAAUCAAGAAAAAAACUCGAAUGAAGUCACGACAAGUUAAUCAAGAAGAGGAGAGGGAGGGUUCCGGGAACCCUGGCAGGCUUGUGAGCGCUCUCAGCU
Molecule: long non-coding RNA, 2734 nt
Organism: Scylla paramamosain (green mud crab)
Lineage: Eukaryota; Metazoa; Arthropoda; Malacostraca; Decapoda; Portunidae
Exons: 3
Source: RefSeq, a predicted model, not a curated record